UGGGGAAUUUUGGACAAUGGGGGCAACCCUGAUCCAGCCAUUCCGCGUGAGUGAAGAAGGCCUUCGGGUUGUAAAGCUCUUUCGGCAGGAACGAAACGGCGAGCUCUAACAUAGCUUGCUAAUGACGGUACCUGAAGAAGAAGCACCGGCUAACUACGUGCCAGCAGCCGCGGUAAUACGUAGGGUGCAAGCGUUAAUUGGAAUUACUGGGCGUAAAGCGUGCGCAGGCGGUUAUGUAAGACAGAUGUGAAAUCCCCGGGCUUAACCUGGGAACUGCGCUUGUGACUGCACGGCUAGAGUAUGGCAGAGGGGGGUGGAAUUCCACGUGUAGCAGUGAAAUGCGUAGAGAUGUGGAGGAACACCGAUGGCGAAGGCAGCCCCCUGGGCCAAUACUGACGCUCAUGCACGAAAGCGUGGGGAGCAAACA
Molecule: ribosomal RNA, 427 nt
Filed under: uncultured bacterium
Lineage: Bacteria
Description: bacterial SSU rRNA
Rfam family: Bacterial small subunit ribosomal RNA
Source: RNAcentral